UACGUCGGGGGCUAGCGUUGUCCGGAAUCACUGGGCGUAAAGGGUGCGUAGGCGGGUCUUUAAGUCAGGGGUGAAAUCCUGGAGCUCAACUCCAGAACUGCCUUUGAUACUGAAGAUCUUGAGUUCGGGAGAGGUGAGUGGAACUGCGAGUGUAGAGGUGAAAUUCGUAGAUAUUCGCAAGAACACCAGUGGCGAAGGCGGCUCACUGGCCCGAUACUGACGCUGAGGCACGAAAGCGUGGGGAGCAAACAGG
Molecule: ribosomal RNA, 253 nt
Filed under: uncultured bacterium
Lineage: Bacteria
Description: partial 16S ribosomal RNA
Rfam family: Bacterial small subunit ribosomal RNA
Source: RNAcentral